AUUGAACGCUGGCGGCAUGCCUUACACAUGCAAGUCGAACGGUAGAGUAGCGAUACUCGAGAGUGGCGAACGGGUGAGUAAUAUAUCGGAACGUGCCCAGUCGUGGGGGAUAACGUAGAGAAAUUUACGCUAAUACCGCAUACGAUCUAAGGAUGAAAGCGGGGGAUUCGCAAGAACCUCGCGCGAUUGGAGCGGCUGAUAUCAGAUUAGGUUGUUGGUGAGGUAAAAGCUCACCAAGCCGACGAUCUGUAGCUGGUUUGAGAGAACGACCAGCCACACUGGGACUGAGACACGGCCCAGACUCCUACGGGAGGCAGCAGUGGGGAAUUUUGGACAAUGGGCGCAAGCCUGAUCCAGCAAUGCCCGCGUGCAGGAUGAAGGCC
This 383-nucleotide ribosomal RNA is filed under the name uncultured bacterium. Its description in RNAcentral is "bacterial SSU rRNA". It matches the Rfam family "Bacterial small subunit ribosomal RNA", at positions 30 to 416 of the family's 1533-position model. The record is from RNAcentral.